UGCCGUGGUGGCCGAGGGGGUUGCCGCCCGGGUCACGGCGUUGGAGGGUGGGGUAUGCCCAACGCACCGACGUUCAUCCUCGUCCACGGCGCC
This 93-nucleotide transfer RNA is filed under the name Streptomyces gougerotii. RNAcentral describes it as "tRNA-Arg". Lineage: Bacteria; Bacillati; Actinomycetota; Actinomycetes; Kitasatosporales; Streptomycetaceae. The record is from RNAcentral. RNAcentral also lists the same sequence under 1 other name.